RNAcentral lists this ribosomal RNA (460 nucleotides) under uncultured bacterium. RNAcentral's name for it is "partial 16S ribosomal RNA". It matches the Rfam family "Bacterial small subunit ribosomal RNA", at positions 338 to 795 of the family's 1533-position model. The record is from RNAcentral.
CCUACGGGAGGCAGCAGUGAGGAAUAUUGGUCAAUGGACGAGAGUCUGAACCAGCCAAGUAGCGUGAAGGAUGACUUCCCUAUGGGUUGUAAACUUCUUUUAUAUGGGAAUAAAAUGUUCCACGUGUGGCAUUUUGUAUGUACCAUAUGAAUAAGCAUCGGCUAACUCCGUGCCAGCAGCCGCGGUAAUACGGAGGAUCCGAGCGUUAUCCGGAUUUACUGGGUGUAAAGGGAGCGUAGACGGUUAGCCAAGUAUGGAGUGAAAUUCCGAGGCUUAACUGCAGAACUACUUUGGAAACUGGCGAACUAGAGUGCGGGAGGGGUAAGCGGAAUUCCUAGUGUAGCGGUGAAAUGCGUAGAUAUUAGGAGGAACACCGAUUGCGAAGGCAGCGUACCGGCGCCAGACUGACGCUGAGGCACGAAAGCGUGGGGAGCGAACAGGAUUAGAUACCCUUGUAGUC